UCCGGCUAACUUCGUGCCAGCAGCCGCGGUAAUACGAAGGGACCUAGCGUAGUUCGGAAUUACUGGGCUUAAAGAGUUCGUAGGUGGUUGAAAAAGUUGGUGGUGAAUCCCAGAGCUUAACUCUGGAACUGCCAUCAAAACUUUUCAGCUAGAGUAUGAUAGAGGAAAGCAGAAUUUCUAGUGUAGAGGUGAAGUUCGUAGAUAUUAGAAAGAAUACCAAUUGCGAAGGCAGCUUUCUGGAUCAUUACUGACACUGAGGAACGAAAGCAUGGGUAGCGAAGAGGAUUAGAUACCCUCGUAGUCCAUGCCGUAAACGAUGUGUGUUAGACGUUGGAAAUUUAUUUUCAGUGUCGCAGCGAAAGCGAUAAACACACCGCCUGGGGAGUACGACCGCAAGGUUAAAACUCAAAUGAAUUGACGGGGACCCGCACAAGUAGUGGAGCAUGUGGUUUAAUUCGAAGAUACGCGCAGAACCUUACCAACACUUGACAUGUUCGUCGCGACUCUAAGAGAUUAGAGUUUUCGGUUCGGCCGGACGAAACACAGGUGCUGCAUGGCUGUCGUCAGCUCGUGUCGUGAGAUGUUGGGUUAAGUCCCGCAACGAGCGCAACCCUCACUUUUAGUUGCCAUCAUUAAGUUGGGCACUCUGAAAGAACUGCCAGUGAUAAGCUGGAGGAAGGUGGGGAUGACGUCAAGUCCUCAUGGCCCUUACGUGUUGGGCUACACACGUGCUACAAUGGUAUCUACAACAGGAAGCAAGACUGCGAAGUUAAGCAAAUCCCUAAAAGAUACCUCAGUUCGGAUUGCACUCUGCAACUCGAGUGCAUGAAGCUGGAAUUACUAGUAAUCGUGGAUCGGCGUGCCACGGUGAAUGCGUUCCCGGGUCUUGUACACACCGCCCGUCACACCAUGGGAGUUGGUUCUACCUUAAGGCAAGGUUUAAAACCCUUGACCACGGUAUAGUCAGCGACUGGGGUG
RNAcentral lists this ribosomal RNA (978 nucleotides) under uncultured bacterium. Its description in RNAcentral is "bacterial SSU rRNA". It matches the Rfam family "Bacterial small subunit ribosomal RNA", at positions 492 to 1482 of the family's 1533-position model. The record is from RNAcentral.